GCCUUCGUGGUGUAACGGUAUCACGCUGGGCCUGUAUUUCAGAGGUCCGUGGUUCGAUUCCCGGCGAAGGCG
Molecule: transfer RNA, 72 nt
Filed under: Stegodyphus dumicola
Lineage: Eukaryota; Metazoa; Arthropoda; Arachnida; Araneae; Eresidae
Description: tRNA-Thr
Rfam family: tRNA
About the family: Transfer RNA (tRNA) molecules are approximately 80 nucleotides in length.
Source: RNAcentral